Molecule: long non-coding RNA, 2953 nt
Filed under: Capsicum annuum
Lineage: Eukaryota; Viridiplantae; Streptophyta; Magnoliopsida; Solanales; Solanaceae
Description: long non-coding RNA (CANN_LNC005832)
Source: RNAcentral
UAUGGAGAAAAUUUUAGCCUUGAUUGACGUCUGAUAUGGGCAAUGCUACCAUGUAACAGAAGGAAAAGUUUGAAUUUUACGGGUUUUGAAUUCUAAAAAGACAUCUUAACAGGUGUUGGACAAUUUAUUUGUACAUAUUUGACGAAUUUUCUGAUAAUCUGCUUUCUUCUUAACCUCUUAUUUUUUAGUGACUUUAGAUAGAUUAAAAAAAAUUAACAUGUUCAUUAAGUAUUAUUUUCUCAUAACCUUCUUUCUUUUUGAGCUCUUAUUGUUUAGUGAUUUUGAGUUGCUUUAUUCUAAAUUUGUUUUUACAUAAGAUCAUAAUCUAACAGAUCUCUUGAUUGAUGCUUAGAUAUCUCUUCAGUACAAAUUUUGGAUGAAGGUAAUGAAUAUGGUACUCAAAGAAUUGAACAAUGUGAGUCAAUAUCCCGUAUGCAUGUACUUGAGGUAAUAUCACUUUCUUCCUGUACCACAUGGUUCUUCACUUCACCCAACUUGUGCUUGUUGUUGGCUUUUGUUCACAUUCAUUAUGAAUUUUACUGCUUCAGCUUUGUUGGAUUAGUAUUCUUAGUACUCAAUUGUCUAUCUUCCGUAAUCAAUUAUCUAUCUAUUGUGGAAGAUUGUUAAUUACAACUAUUAUUUGACCACUUUUUAACUCAAAUAUCACUAUUACAAAAUUUAGCGACAGUAAAUAUAUAAUUUAUCAAAAAAUUCUUAAUUAAAUUUUUACCGACAUUAGUUAAUUAUUAUUGAACCAAUAUCACUAAUAACUAAUAAGUUAAGAAAACAACUUACGGAUAUUAUUUUGCUCCAAACCUAAUGUUGAUAGGUUAUAUACAUAUAUUUAUAUGUUUUUUUAAUCACGAUUAUCGAUAAACCCACGAAGUUAGAUUUUUGUUCUAUAUUUUAUUAUUAUUAUUAUUAUUAUUAUUAUUAUUAUUAUUAUUAUUAUUGGUAUUAGAUGUGUGAAUCUAACUAUGUAAUUAUUCACUAUAUGUUGACAAACCUAUACUAUGUGAUUCUUAUUUUGUAGAAUAUGUAUUUGAGUUAAUUAAUUUGUAUUAACUAGGCUCUCAGAGAAUGAUAUCAUAAACUUGGUUUUUCAGAAUGAAAAUUGUGCGGAAAAAUUAACGUAGAUCAAAUAUAAUCUUUUUCUUGUGCCUUUUUAUUUUACGUUUCUUUCCUUUUCUUCUUAUUCCUUUAUCUAACAAUAAAAAGGCACUUGAACAUUGAGAUUUAAAGUCAGCCUUUUGUUGAUUUAACCAUGCAUGCUAUUUUUUCUUAAAAAAAUCAUAUUCCUUUAUUUCUAACCCAAUCUUUUUUCUAUUUGAAAUCUUUGGCUUUUUAUAUAUGUCUAUGUUGCGCACUUACAAACUCUUAUGAUUCUUUAUCAUCUGCCUAGGAAAUUAUAGACUUUUAGCCUAUAUUUUUAGUUAGUGGAUGUGGUUAUUGAAGAACUUAUAAAGUUCAUGUUCCACCUAUUCUAAAUAUUAGAAGACCAUAUAGUCAUACGGACAUGUUUGUUAUCCUCUUUUGGUUACAAUUAUAAUAUGAGAAUAUAAAUUUUCUAUAUUAGGAGAACCAUAUUAACCUUGUGAUAGGAGUUCUUGCACUCUUAUUUUACAUCUAUUUGACGAUUAGCCGGUUCAGGGAGGGUCAAACUCAUAAAGUGUGAUAUAGACAGCCUAACCCAAAAUAUUAGUGGUUGCUUUUAUAAUUUGAAUCUGUGACCUUUAGAUCACACAGCGAUAAUUUUAUCAUUGUUUCAAGACUCCUUUUUGUUGUGUUAAAUUGGAUCAACCAAACACUAAUUUGUUUUUGGUUAGAAUUCCAAAAGAAGCUCAACAUAUAAAAUAUAAAGAGUACUAAUAAUGAAUACUAAAAUAGUUUAUUUUCUUACCUAUUUAGCAUUAUAGUUAGUUUUUUUUUUCGGAGUCUUUACUUUAUUAAUUUCUUUGGUAUUCUAGCAUUAGUUAGUUAGUUUUUUUUUUUUUAAAAAAAAUAAAGUCUUUUACUUAUUUUAUUUUUUCUUUCCUAUUUUAAUGUGAAUGUAACCCUUUAUUUUAGUAACGGACUCUCAAUUAUGGUAUUUUAAUUUGUAAUAGAUUCUAUGAUACAAUCUAUAUAUGUCCCUUUUCACAAAUUUUUGCAAUAGAUUGCCUAGAUUUUGUUUAUAUUUAUUUUUAGUUUCUAAUGUAUGUAUUUGAAUACAAUUUGUAAUUUGAUUAUGUUAUAAAGAUUAUAUUUAAUCGUAUUGUUUUGAUAACACGGUCAUAUUAUAGUUUCUGUUAUGUUAUUAUCUGGUGUUUUUUUGUUUGUUUGUUUAAUAUAGGUAGUAGAUAGAAUAUUUGAUUGGACUUUGAUGAAAUCUUUUUGUAAAGGAAAAUUUUAAUCGUUUGAAUUUUAAAAUUUAUAAAGUACCCCAUAAGUUGAACGGAGAGAGUAUAUUUUUUCUUCUUUUUGAUUCAUAUACUAUAUGUAGAAUCAUAUUUUUAUGCCAAACAUUCAUUCAAAUUAGUCUAUUCUCAUUAUGUCUAUCGAUUUUCUUUUUUACAAGAGUACAACGUAUAUUAUGCGUAUUAGAAUUUUAGAAAUCAGCACGAUAGUCUAAUUUUACUUGAAAAAUAUUGCAGGUUCUUGGAUCACUAUACAACAAUAAUGACAAAAAAAAGUUUGAUUAUGUGGUAGUGCAUACUCUUAAUGAAUUCAAUAAAUUAAUGCGAUGGUCUGAUAGAUAACUUGUGGAUCAUAGAGGAAGAAUGUCGGGGUAGUCUUCUACAUUUGUUUCUAUUGUAGGUCCGUCUAACACCUUUAUAUAUCAUUGAUGAAUUCAACAAUUUGACAUUUCUUAUUUGAAAUGAGUUAUAGUGUUAUAUGAACUUGACCAAGUUUAAUGUCACACCUUUCUUUUUAACUUGUGCAAAUUUUUGUGCAUUCAAAAAUAAUUUCAUCC